Molecule: ribosomal RNA, 1436 nt
Filed under: uncultured bacterium
Lineage: Bacteria
Description: bacterial SSU rRNA
Rfam family: Bacterial small subunit ribosomal RNA
Source: RNAcentral
AGAGUUUGAUCCUGGCUCAGAACGUACGCUGGCGGCACGCCUAACACAUGCAAGUCGAACGAAGUAGCAAUACUUAGUGGCAGACGGGUGAGUAACAUGUAGGUAUCUGCCCUUUGGCCUGGAAUAACACGAGGAAACUUGUGCUAAUACCGGAUAAGUCUUUACGGAGAAAGCUUUAUGCACCAUUGGAUGAGCCUGCACUUGAUUAGUUUGUUGGUGGGGUAAUGGCCUACCAAGACUGUGAUCAAUAGCUGAUUUGAGAGGAUGAUCAGCCACAUUGGGACUGAGACACGGCCCAAACUCCUACGGGAGGCAGCAGUGGGGAAUCUUGCACAAUGGAGGAAACUCUGAUGCAGCGAUGCCGCGUGAGUGAAGAAGGCCUUUGGGUUGUAAAGCUCUUUCGUCGGGGAAGAAAAUGACUGUACCCGAAUAAGAAGGUCCGGCUAACUUCGUGCCAGCAGCCGCGGUAAUACGAAGGGACCUAGCGUAGUUCGGAAUUACUGGGCUUAAAGAGUUCGUAGGUGGUUGAAAAAGUUGGUGGUGAAAUCCCAGAGCUUAACUCUGGAACUGCCAUCAAAACUUUUCAGCUAGAGUAUGAUAGAGGAAAGCAGAAUUUCUAGUGUAGAGGUGAAAUUCGUAGAUAUUAGAAAGAAUACCAAUUGCGAAGGCAGCUUUCUGGAUCAUUACUGACACUGAGGAACGAAAGCAUGGGUAGCGAAGAGGAUUAGAUACCCUCGUAGUCCAUGCCGUAAACGAUGUGUGUUAGACGUUGGAAAUUAAUUUUCAGUGUCGCAGCGAAAGCGAUAAACACACCGCCUGGGGAGUACGACCGCAAGGUUAAAACUCAAAUGAAUUGACGGGGACCCGCACAAGUAGUGGAGCAUGUGGUUUAAUUCGAAGAUACGCGCAGAACCUUACCAACACUUGACAUGUUCGUCGCGACUUUAAGAGAUUAAAGUUUUCGGUUCGGCCGGACGAAACACAGGUGCUGCAUGGCUGUCGUCAGCUCGUGUCGUGAGAUGUUGGGUUAAGUCCCGCAACGAGCGCAACCCUCACUUUUAGUUGCCAUCAUUUAGUUGGGCACUCUGAAAGAACUGCCAGUGAUAAGCUGGAGGAAGGUGGGGAUGACGUCAAGUCCUCAUGGCCCUUACGUGUUGGGCUACACACGUGCUACAAUGGUAUUUACAACAGGAAGCAAGACGGCGACGUUAAGCAAAUCCUCAAAAGAUACCUCAGUUCGGAUUGCACUCUGCAACUCGAGUGCAUGAAGCUGGAAUUACUAGUAAUCGUGGAUCAGCGUGCCACGGUGAAUGCGUUCCCGGGUCUUGUACACACCGCCCGUCACACCAUGGGAGUUGGUUCUACCUUAAGGCAAGGUUUAAAACCCUUGACCACGGUAUAGUCAGCGACUGGGGUGAAGUCGUAACAAGGUAACC